Molecule: long non-coding RNA, 840 nt
Organism: Cercocebus atys (sooty mangabey)
Lineage: Eukaryota; Metazoa; Chordata; Mammalia; Primates; Cercopithecidae
Exons: 3
Source: RefSeq, a predicted model, not a curated record
UCCUGUUCUGUUCCGUUCCAAUUACAAAUGCAUGCAGCCCCCAGUCACAUACCCCCUGCUUGCUCAAUUGAUCACAGCCCUCUCACGUGGAACCCCUUAGAGUUUAAGCCCUUAAAAGGGACAGGAAUUUCUCACUUGGGGAGCUCAGCUUUUGAGACGCAAGUCUGCUGAAAUUCCCUGCUGAACAAAGCUCCUUCCUCAUUUAACCCAGCGUCUGAGUUUUGUCUAUGGCUCAUCUUGCUACAUUUCUUGGUUCCCCGACUGGGAAGCGAGGUGAUUGGUGGACGGUAGAGGCAGCCCCUUAGGCAACUUAGGCCUGCCCUAUGAAGCAUACCUGCAGGGGACUCUGACCAGCCUGAGUGAUGUGGAUCCAAAGAGUGCUCCCAGGUAGGCAAUUGCCCCGGUAGGACGCCUCGCCAGAGCAGUAUAUGGCAGACCCCCGUGAGGAUCAACACAGUCGCUGAACACCGGGAAGGAGUUGACACUUGGAGUCCGGACAUCUGAAACUUGUCUUCCAACGUGGGAUGACCCUUGCCAGAUGAUGAUGCCAUGUUCUUCAGCUUUCCAGCCUCUAAAACUUGUCCAUUUGGCUUUUGAAGUUUGAAUGCCAUCAUGUCACUUCAAUGUCACAAGGUUCUAUCAUCUCUACUGCUCUCAGUGAACCCAGUUUUGAAAUGGUUUCUUCUGCCUUCACCCUGGACUACAGAGAGAACCACUGCUGAGUCUUAGAGUGAUGCUGAUUCCUCUCUAACCAGAUCAUUCCUUACUGAUUUGGUAAGCAGUAUAUUCCUGAAGUUUCCUUUGAAAUAUAUUGAUCUGUUGGGUUUUCCAUUUUUAAAU